CCCAUCUCAGGAUUGUAGCUGGAGAGUUCCCAGUCCUCUACCAGUCUUGGCUACGGGAGGGAGAGUCAAGCUGAGGCCUACCCAUUCCAUUCCUAGCUUGAGCAAUGGAUAGCGAGUGGAAGACAAUCUGCUACAAGU
Tachyglossus aculeatus (Australian echidna) is the source of this 138-nucleotide small nucleolar RNA. The record is from RefSeq and is a predicted model, not a curated record. Lineage: Eukaryota; Metazoa; Chordata; Mammalia; Monotremata; Tachyglossidae.